UGUGUACUCCCUCUGUCGGGAAAUACUUGUCAUCAAAAUGGAUAGAAGGGGAUGUAUCUAGACAUAUUUUAAUUUCAGAUACAUCUUUUUUUAUUCAUUUUAAUGACAAGUAUUUUCGAACGGAAGGAGUAUUAU
Molecule: non-coding RNA, 135 nt
Organism: Triticum aestivum (bread wheat)
Lineage: Eukaryota; Viridiplantae; Streptophyta; Magnoliopsida; Poales; Poaceae
Source: Rfam